This 714-nucleotide long non-coding RNA is filed under the name Equus caballus (horse). Its description in RNAcentral is "lncRNA (ENSECAG00000053849.1)". The record is from RNAcentral. Lineage: Eukaryota; Metazoa; Chordata; Mammalia; Perissodactyla; Equidae.
UGAAACUGUGAAUGGACAUGUGCAGUAACCCUAGCCUGAGGAAGGUAUGAUUUGCCAAGAGUUCAGACUUCUCAGGAGUGAAGGUUUGGGCCACGUCACCAAGCAAGCCAUCAAGUCCCACUAAGGUGACAGUCAAGGGGGAGGAGAUUUAGAAUGAGUAGUGGAGGAAAGUGUGAGUACCUGUUGCAGCCCCAAGACCAACUGUAGCGACAAAGGCCUUAGUCUGAACCACUGACUUCCCUCUCUCGAGUUUCUCCCCAGGAAGAAAGGCCAUGGAAAUCACGGAGGGCUGCUCCCCAAACAUGCAUGGAGAAGUAGAAGUGACAGCCAUGACAGUGACCUCUGAGAUGUGCCGCAGGGAGUACUCUUGACUGACCCCUCCAGCUGCUGCCACUCACCACUGCUUUGAUACGGACACCAAGCUUCCUGCAGCUGCUCCCAGCAUGGCCCAGCACGGCAAGGACUGUAAACUCCACGAGGGGAGGAACCAUAUCUAAAAUGAACUCACUGUUGUACCUUGGUGCCUGGCACGGUGCCUAGGAUGUAGUAGGCAUCAAGACUUAUUGAAUGGGAGGAUUUUUCUCUGCCUCCCAAAUCAUCUAAUGAUGCUGACACCACUGUCAGCGCGUUCUGUGUCUUGUGGUUGUUGGUGUUUAAAGUGGAGACAAAAAGUGUCACAGAGAGAAGUCAGUGAUUUGAAAAACAAGAACUCAG